This 264-nucleotide ribosomal RNA is filed under the name uncultured bacterium. RNAcentral describes it as "partial 16S ribosomal RNA". It matches the Rfam family "Bacterial small subunit ribosomal RNA", at positions 94 to 354 of the family's 1533-position model. The record is from RNAcentral.
CCGGACGCACGGGUGAGUAACGCGUAUGCGACCUGCCCGUUGCAGGGGGAUAAUCGGGAGAAAUCCCGUCUAAUACCGCGUAACGCCGCGGGGCUGCAUGGCCCUGCGGCCAAAGGGAGCGAUUCCGGCAACGGAUGGGCAUGCGUGACAUUAGCUAGUUGGCGGGGCAACGGCCCACCAAGGCGACGAUGUCUAGGGGUUCUGAGAGGAAGGUCCCCCACACUGGUACUGAGACACGGACCAGACUCCUACGGAAGGCAGCAG